Molecule: ribosomal RNA, 1506 nt
Filed under: metagenome
Description: bacterial SSU rRNA
Rfam family: Bacterial small subunit ribosomal RNA
Source: RNAcentral
AGAGUUUGAUCCUGGCUCAGGACGAACGCUGGCGGCGUGCCUAAUACAUGCAAGUAGAACGCUGAAGAGAGGAGCUUGCUCUUCUUGGAUGAGUUGCGAACGGGUGAGUAACGCGUAGGUAACCUGCCUUGUAGCGGGGGAUAACUAUUGGAAACGAUAGCUAAUACCGCAUAACAAUGGAUGACACAUGUCAUUUAUUUGAAAGGGGCAAUUGUUCCACUACAAGAUGGACCUGCGUUGUAUUAGCUAGUAGGUGAGGUAAUGGCUCACCUAGGCGACGAUACAUAGCCGACCUGAGAGGGCGAUCGGCCACACUGGGACUGAGACACGGCCCAGACUCCUACGGGAGGCAGCAGUAGGGAAUCUUCGGCAAUGGGGGCAACCCUGACCGAGCAACGCCGCGUGAGUGAAGAAGGUUUUCGGAUCGUAAAGCUCUGUUGUAAGUCAAGAACGGGUGUGAGAGUGGAAAGUUCACACUGUGACGGUAGCUUACCAGAAAGGGACGGCUAACUACGUGCCAGCAGCCGCGGUAAUACGUAGGUCCCGAGCGUUGUCCGGAUUUAUUGGGCGUAAAGCGAGCGCAGGCGGCUUGAUAAGUCUGAAGUUAAAGGCUGUGGCUCAACCAUAGUUCGCUUUGAAAACUGUCGAACUUGAGUGCAGAAGGGGAGAGUGGAAUUCCAUGUGUAGCGGUGAAAUGCGUAGAUAUAUGGAGGAACACCGGUGGCGAAAGCGGCUCUCUGGUCUGUAACUGACGCUGAGGCUCGAAAGCGUGGGGAGCGAACAGGAUUAGAUACCCUGGUAGUCCACGCCGUAAACGAUGAGUGCUAGGUGUUGGAUCCUUUCCGGGAUUCAGUGCCGCAGCUAACGCAUUAAGCACUCCGCCUGGGGAGUACGACCGCAAGGUUGAAACUCAAAGGAAUUGACGGGGGCCCGCACAAGCGGUGGAGCAUGUGGUUUAAUUCGAAGCAACGCGAAGAACCUUACCAGGUCUUGACAUCCCGAUGCUAUUUCUAGAGAUAGAAAGUUACUUCGGUACAUCGGUGACAGGUGGUGCAUGGUUGUCGUCGGCUCGUGUCGUGAGAUGUUGGGUUAAGUCCCGCAACGAGCGCAACCCCUAUUGUUAGUUGCCAUCAUUCAGUUGGGCACUCUAGCGAGACUGCCGGUAACAAACCGGAGGAAGGUGGGGAUGACGUCAAAUCAUCAUGCCCCUUAUGACCUGGGCUACACACGUGCUACAAUGGUUGGUACAACGAGUUGCGAGUCGGUGACGGCGAGCUAAUCUCUUAAAGCCAAUCUCAGUUCGGAUUGUAGGCUGCAACUCGCCUACAUGAAGUCGGAAUCGCUAGUAAUCGCGGAUCAGCACGCCGCGGUGAAUACGUUCCCGGGCCUUGUACACACCGCCCGUCACACCACGAGAGUUUGUAACACCCGAAGUCGGUGAGGUAACCUUUUGGAGCCAGCCGCCUAAGGUGGGACAGAUGAUUGGGGUGAAGUCGUAACAAGGUA